Long non-coding RNA from Vidua chalybeata, 2401 nucleotides. RefSeq lists it as uncharacterized. NCBI's taxonomy places the organism in Eukaryota, Metazoa, Chordata, Aves, Passeriformes, Viduidae. The record is from RefSeq and is a predicted model, not a curated record. The transcript has 4 exons.
AGCUGGAUGACAUCAUCUCAGUGCCACUGAGCACAGCAGCAACAGCACCUGGGAUGAGGCAGUGCUGAGGAGGGCAUGUCCCCAUGCAGGUGAGCACCAGGCCUCAGAAAGAGAUGAGCCAGAGAAAACCAGGAGAGAGAUGCUCAGAAAAAAAAAAAAAAAAAAGAAAGAAAAAAAAAGAAAAGAAGCAGAGAAAAGUGAGUAGGAUGAACUCUUUACCUCUCUAUCCCAUUAGCACGUUCACCAUGGAUUGCAACCUGCAGAUCUCGAGGCAGGGCAGAGCCUGCAGUAUUAGUGGUGGUUUUGGCUCUGCAGCACUGCCAGGGCUCUCCUCGAAUGCUGGCUGCCCUCAGGGUGUUGGGGAGAGCUCCAGCACAGCCUGCCCCUGGCUCCAAGUGCCUCCCUCGCACUGGGACUCCCCAGCUCUAAUAUUUUUGCUCUUUGUUUUGGGUUCAGUGACCCUCAGGCUCUGUGUUCGUGCCUUUGCUGUUUGACUAAUUGGAGAAGUGUCUAAGCCUCUUCUCCACCGAUGUCACUGUUAUGCAGCGUGUGAUUAAACUGCUGUCAGCUGCUGCUGUUUACAGAUAACAAUGCUGUUUUCUCUCAUUCCUACACUAUCAGGCUCAUUAGGAAUGUCUAUGGAUAAAUUAGUCAGUCUGGGAUUGAAUAAUGUCUGAAAUGUCCUCAGUUCCACUGAGGAACUGCAUCUUCCUGCUCUGGAUAGCCAAAUGUGACAGUGACCUGAACUACUGCACGGGGCUCAGGCCCAGCCCACACCUGGGUGACCGCCAGAUCUGGAGCCUAAUGUGGGCUCUCUUCAAGGAGACUCUUCCAGGGGUGAGCUCCUCACUUCUGGAGGCAGAAGUUCAGUGCAGUGCAGCUCGGAGCUGCUGAGGGAGCACUCAAGCUGUCUGGGAAGCACUCAAGCUGUGGAUGGACCCUGGCACCAGGGCAGGCACUGGCCCUUGCUGUGGCACUCUGGAGCUUCUUGCCUGGCCUUCAACGCUGGGCACUCACCUCAGAACCACAGGACCAGCCUGUCUAAAACACCUUUGACAAUGAGUGAUGGCCACGUGCUACAGAUCUCUUUGUGAAAUAUAACCAGCCUACUGUAAGACCAUUUCUGAUGUGACUGAAAAUGAAAAUCCUGAUGACAGCACUUCAAACAGAACUGCUGCAAAUCUCUAUAAGUUGUUUUAAUGAAACCAGCCAGGAAGAGAAGGAGAGCAAAUCAAAGGAGGGUUAUUUUCACUGUGGUGUCAAAACUAUCUUUCUUACAGCAGGUAAUAGCUCAACUUGGCCAAUUACACAUUUUCUGGCCUAACCCUGCUCUUUGCACAAGUUCUCCUGAUAAUCUGGAGCCUGGCUGACCUGAUGUCUUUGCUUUCCCUUUGCUCUUGUCUCUGCAGGCUCCAGGCAGGAGUGGGGAAGGGCAGCAGCCCCAGAGCUGGAUGUGAGCAGCAGAGGUGACCAGAGAACCUGGUAUUCCUUUUCCUUCACCUGCAGAUACUGGCCCCUUGCUGUGCCCCUCAAGGAUCUGUGCCAUCCUGGGGACAGCAUCCCUCCACCCUGUAGUGAAGAAAUCCAGUAGUACCCAUUAAAGACUGCUCUGUCUCUCUGUUUUCUUCACACCAGCAAUGGCUUUGUCAUCUGCUGCUCCUGAAACAAAAUUCAUGAGAUCAUUUUCCCAAAGCAUGACACUUAAAAUCUGAAUUAAAAUACCUCUGGCCGUUCUGCUACCAAGAUUUUAUAAGUGCUUGGAAUAAUAUUUCAGAUAAAUGGAUAAGCUGUGUGCUUUUAACAUGACAGACCCUUCUUCUAGUAAAACAUAUCUAACAUCAAAUCCUCCAUAUGCUUCCAAAAUCCUCUUCCCUGCUUGGCUCCUCAGUGACAGGAAAGUGUACAUGCCUGUGGAGCUUGGUGGUGAAUGGAGCUGUCCCAGGGGUCUGGAUUGAUUUGCUUUGUGACAUUGAUACCUUCCACUGUCCCAGCAGCAUGACCCAGUGUGGGAAUUCUAAAAGGAAGCUGCUGUGCCUGGAGGCAGGCAAGCAAGAUCCUGUAUAUUACACUGUGAGAGUUGUGUGUCAUAUUAGAGCAAUCGGGCUUUAAAGGGCAUCUUUCAAGCACAAACUAGUUUUUUCCCACACUUGACUGAUCACACAAAUAACUGUGAUUAAAGGUCAAGUGCCUGGGUUUUUCUAUUUUACUCCUUAAAAAUUUAUAUGCAAGAGGAAACCUAGAAGUUAACAUAGCAUGAAAUUGUUAUGUAGUUCUGAGCCUUUAACGACAACUAAAUAUCACUUUUCUUCCUGGGUGGCUUGAGAAAUCUUCAGUAAUAACGGGUCACUUCUUUCGGUUUCCACUUGAGGAAGAAUAUAAAUAAACCCUGUCUUUUGCUUCC